This is a long non-coding RNA of Felis catus (domestic cat), 334 nucleotides long. RefSeq lists it as uncharacterized. The record is from RefSeq and is a predicted model, not a curated record. The transcript is spliced from 3 exons. Lineage: Eukaryota; Metazoa; Chordata; Mammalia; Carnivora; Felidae.
AAAACAUCUUCAUCCUCCAGUUGGACAGCAAUGUGAACGUACUUCAUAACGCCGAACUGUAUGCUUCAAGUGUUAAGAUGAUGGAAGUCACCUGUUGAGCAUGGCUGUACAGUCGGAUGCAAGGACAAUGGUUCCUAGGACACUGCCAGGAGACAGAGACUCCGAGAGUGGCCAGAAAACAAACAGGCCAGUAACUGCCUUGGUCUGAGAGUCCUCACCGAGCAGGAGUCUCCUCCAGACCUCCUCAUUCGGGGUUUAGAGCAUCAGGUUCUGGUCUCUUCCGGGCAGAAGAAACAUCCUUGUCCUCGUGCACCUGACUUUUAAAAUCAUUUCU